Molecule: unclassified non-coding RNA, 377 nt
Filed under: uncultured Parachlamydiaceae bacterium
Lineage: Bacteria; Pseudomonadati; Chlamydiota; Chlamydiia; Parachlamydiales; Parachlamydiaceae
Description: contains 16S-23S intergenic spacer region
Source: RNAcentral
UCCUGGUUAACCCAGGCAGUCUCAUUAGAGUUCCCACCUAAUAUGUUGGCAACUAAUGAUAAGGGUUGCGCUCGUUGCGGGACUUAACCCAACACCUCACGGCACGAGCUGACGACAGCCAUGCAGCACCUGUGCAGCAGUCCCGAAGGAAGAUGCCAUCUCUGGCACUGUCUACUGCAUGUCAAGUCUGGGUAAGGUUCUUCGCGUUGCAUCGAAUUAAACCACAUGCUCCACUGCUUGUGCGGGUCCCCGUCAAUUCUUUUGAGUUUUACCCUUGCGAGCGUACUCCUCAGGCGGUAUACUUAUCGCGUUAGCUUCGACACAACCGGGUUUAAGGCCAGUUACAUCAAGUAUACAUCGUUUACGGCAAGGACUAC